Molecule: ribosomal RNA, 513 nt
Filed under: uncultured bacterium
Lineage: Bacteria
Description: bacterial SSU rRNA
Rfam family: Bacterial small subunit ribosomal RNA
Source: RNAcentral
UGAGGAAUCUUGCGCAAUGGGCGAAAGCCUGACACAGCGACGCCGCGUGAGGGAUGAAGGCCUUCGGGUUGUAAACCUCUGUCAGGGGGGAAGAAUCCGGAGUCGGUGAAUACCCGACUCCACUGACGGUACCCCCAGAGGAAGCACCGGCUAACUCCGUGCCAGCAGCCGCGGUAAGACGGAGGGUGCAAACGUUGUUCGGAAUCACUGGGCGUAAAGGGCGCGUAGGCGGACUCGUAAGUCGGGAGUGAAAACUCGGGGCUCAACCCCGAGCCUGCUUCUGAAACUGCGAGUCUUGAGGACCGGAGAGGAAAGUGGAAUUCCUAGUGUAGCGGUGGAAUGCGUAGAUAUUAGGAAGAACACCAGUGGCGAAGGCGACUUUCUGGACGGUUCCUGACGCUGAGGCGCGAAAGCUAGGGGAGCAAACAGGAUUAGAUACCCUGGUAGUCCUAGCCGUAAACGAUGAGUGCUAGGUGGUGGUAGUUUCAACACUUUCACCGCCGCAGCCAACGC